CAGUAGCCGCGGGAAUACGAAGGGGGCUAGCGUUGUUCAGAAUUACUGGGCGUAAAGCGCACGUAGGCGGAUAUUUAAGUCAGGGGUGAAAUCCCGCAGCUCAACUGCGGAACUGCCUUUGAUACUGGGUAUCUUGAGUAUGGAAGAGGUUAGUGGAAUUGCGAGUGUAGAGGUGAAAUUCGUAGAUAUUCGCAGGAACACCAGUGGCGAAGGCGGCUAACUGGUCCAUAACUGACGCUGAGGUGCGAAAGCGUGGGGAGCAAACAGGAUUAGAUACCCCCGUAGUCCCUGUCUCUUAUAC
RNAcentral lists this ribosomal RNA (301 nucleotides) under uncultured bacterium. RNAcentral's name for it is "partial 16S ribosomal RNA". It matches the Rfam family "Bacterial small subunit ribosomal RNA", at positions 509 to 807 of the family's 1533-position model. The record is from RNAcentral.